CAAAAACUGCAUUACUUUUGC
RNAcentral lists this microRNA (21 nucleotides) under Homo sapiens (human). RNAcentral describes it as "hsa-miR-548j-3p". Its record names the gene hsa-miR-548j-3p. The record is from miRBase by way of RNAcentral. Lineage: Eukaryota; Metazoa; Chordata; Mammalia; Primates; Hominidae.